This 403-nucleotide ribosomal RNA is filed under the name uncultured bacterium. RNAcentral describes it as "bacterial SSU rRNA". It matches the Rfam family "Bacterial small subunit ribosomal RNA", at positions 29 to 477 of the family's 1533-position model. The record is from RNAcentral.
AACGAACGCUGGCGGCAGGCCUAACACAUGCAAGUCGAACGCUCCGCAAGGGGAGUGGCAGACGGGUGAGUAACACGUGGGAACCUUCCCAUCGCUACGGAAUAGCUCAGGGAAACUUGGGGUAAUACCGUAUACGCCCGGAAAGGGGAAAGUAUUUAUCGGCGAUGGAUGGGCCCGCGGCUGAUUAGCUAGUUGGUGAGGUAACGGCUCACCAAGGCGACGAUCAGUAGCUGGUCUGAGAGGACGACCAGCCACACUGGGACUGAGACACGGCCCAGACUCCUACGGGAGGCAGCAGUGGGGAAUAUUGGACAAUGGGCGCAAGCCUGAUCCAGCCAUGCCGCGUGAGUGACGAGGGUCUUCGGAUUGUAAAGCUCUUUUGGCGGGGACGAUAAUGACGGUA